Lampris incognitus (smalleye Pacific opah) is the source of this 1450-nucleotide RNA transcript. It is a transcript of the gene named membrane-spanning 4-domains subfamily A member 4A-like, with no coding region annotated. The transcript has 8 exons. The record is from RefSeq and is a predicted model, not a curated record. NCBI's taxonomy places the organism in Eukaryota, Metazoa, Chordata, Actinopteri, Lampriformes, Lampridae.
CUGACGUCAGCUUUCGGCUCUGGGAGGAGGCUCUGUGGUGUUUAUUUAAUGAGUGAAAUGGGAGUUAAGCUGUACUUGCAUGUUUCCAGAUCGUCCUGAAACUCAAGGGGCUCAAAUCAGGAGAGAAUUUGUUUCCAGAAGUGGGUGAGCAAACUGAAGUUCAUUGAAGAUGUCCAGCACUGUAGAGACUGCAGCUAAUCGGGUGAUGAGCGGAGGAGAGGUAGCACCUUCAGCUAAUGAGAAACCGACGGACUCUUCUGACCUGAGCAAGUUCCCCAAGAUGCAUCCCAGAGUACUUGGGGCUAUUGAAAUGGCGAUUGGGAUCAUCAUGGUCUUGGUAGCAGUUGUGAUGAUGGCUUUCGGAAUAGAGAUUGAGCUUGUGUUAAAAGCAUACUGGGGAAUUAUCAUUGUGGGCGUAGAGGCCUAUCCUGCAGCUGCAUAAUGGGAGGAUGCCUGCGCGUGACAGCUCUUUACAUGGAGUGGCUGAUGAGCCUGUAGCCACCAAACAGUCCUUGGCAGGGGGUGGCCAGAGUCAAUGACAUGGAGAACGAAGCCAACUGGGGACCACCCUCUGUUGUAGCCUUCACCGCUGUGACCUGGAGACAUCUUCCAUCAGUUCUGCCAUUGAGGUCUUUGUUGGAUUGCGGUUCAUCAGGAACCUCCCCUUUGACCUGUCUGCCUUGGGUGACCCUAGCAGGAGCCAAGCUCCGGGCGGCAUAGCUAUUGGGAUCUUGGGAUCAUUGGUUUCUCCACCAUGGCAAGUAUAUAGCUGCUGGUGCUCUGACUGUUGCUACUGCUAAGAAACUGAAAAGGAGCAUGGUGUAUGGUACAUUAUGGAUGCAUAUCGUCGCUGCUCUUGCUGCUUGUGCGGGCAGUGUUUUACAUUUGUACGGUGCCUUCGUAUUUCUCUUCCCCCCUUGCCAUACAUACAAUUAUAUUAGAGUGUGCCAUCAUCUGAGUCGACUUCAAUUUUCCAUGGUAUUCUUCUCUAUUCUGGAGUUUAUCGUGUCCAUCUGUGUUGCUUCGUUUUCCACAGCAACUCUCUGCUGUUCUAGAGAGAAUACUGUGAUUUAGGAUGGUGUACCCUCAACGGCAAGCAAAAUACUUAAGAACUUUUUCAAAAAGAAAAUUAAUUCUUAAGUGGGGCCAUAUCCUGCUGUGAGCGCAUGUUGUAAUUCAUAUACUGCUUAUCUAUUCUGUCCACUCGGCACGUUUUACACCCCAAUCCAUCCUGAAACAGCGAUCCUUCCUCCGAAGCUUUUCUUGUGGCUUCUCUCCCCCCCCGAUAAGAUUUUUCUGUGGUGUUUUUCCUCAUGUGACUCAAGGGUUUCAGAAGGGGAUUCUGUACAUUUAUUUUCCUGUGCUCAAUUUACCUGUUCUGGAGAAUGCAAGCAGAAUGUAAAUCCCUGUAGGACUUAUGACUUAUUAUCAGAAUGAAAUAAAAGUUGUU